UACCUGGUUGAUGAAAAUUAGAACUAAGGCUGUGAAUUUACCUGUAAGGAAGACGGAAAACCUGGCGUGGACAUGCUGAAUUUGCAGUUUUGGACAAAUUCUCCCCGCCUCCAAGGGCAAAAGUAUAUGAUAACUUUUCUGAAAAGUUCUCACUAUUCGAGACUGGCCUGAUUUGAAGAGAUUCCAGUGGCAUAAGUGUCUGUUUAUGCAAAGUCCUAUGCAUGCUGAAUUAAUUUACACUGACCGAUCUUAACAGGUGUGCUGUGCCACCUCAGCUUUCAUCUGCUUCUGUACUCCUGAAGUUGAACCUUCCCUCUGAAGUGCUGUUAACUAAGCCCUGUGAGGGCCCCUUGGAGCCCCUUCCUCCCUGACAGUCUCAGCUCUCGGUUCCACUCCCUCUUUUCCUCUUGUACGAGUUCCUCUCCUAAGUGCAAUCCUUUCCCCAACUGUUAUUCCCGGCCAUCUUUCGAGAUCCCAUGCACAUCCACGAUUUCAGCUGUCUUCCUCUGGAGAAAGCAGUGCCGUCAAACAGAAGGAUUCCUGUGUGUGUCUGACUUGGUCACUGUUGGUCUGGAGAAGGCAACUCAGACUCUGGAUUAUGGUCACAACACAGCUUCCUGCACUGAAAGCCUUGCUAUAAAAACAAAACCCAAAAAACAGUCCACAGACCUAAACACUGCCUUCAGUGAUAUAGAUUAUUUAUGUUCUUGCAAACUGACCUUGUGGCAACACUUGGAUGACACUGGUCCAGAGCUCAGGGAGCCUUUCUGGGUGAACCUGGGGGUUUCCACCCUUCCCCACACCCAAGCCUCACAUUCCAUAAAGG
Molecule: non-coding RNA, 826 nt
Organism: Kogia breviceps (pygmy sperm whale)
Lineage: Eukaryota; Metazoa; Chordata; Mammalia; Artiodactyla; Physeteridae
Source: RefSeq, a predicted model, not a curated record